UCCAACCUGGGUGAUAGUGACUCCAUCUCAAAAUAAAAAAGAUGUCAGCAACUUAAGUAUUUUUAACGGCUGGGCAGAGGGGACCAAUGAAAAAGAGUAGGACAUCGUGAUCUGAGGGGAGGGUUUGGCUCAGGAAGGAGGAAGUACACCUCUUCCUUGGAUACUGGAAGGGAAGGUGUUGCUGAUGAAAACUCCAAAGGAAGAAAAGGUCCAUGGAGGAUGCUUCAUCACUGGGUUUAAGUUUUUUAACAAAAUUGGUGAGGAAGACAUCUGCACAGAAUCUAAAAAAUAAUGAAUGCAGCCAUGGUACCUUAGGGCGCUGGAAAAGGCAAUGCACCUGACCUCUGGGGAAGCUGAUCUCAGAGGUACGCAGGACGUCUUGGUGUGGGGAAUCUGUGUGGAGAUACGUCUGGAGACAGUGAGUCAUACUUCCUGACCUUAUAACCAUGCAGCUCAGCAGUCUCUGCGAGAGUCGGCUCCCUGCAAUUUGUGUUCCAGGAUCCAUGGAGCACGUAACACAUCCUGAUGCUGUUCUCAGCCUUCUGUGGCCUCUUGGUCACCGUUUCCUACCAUCUGAGCUGGCAGAGCAGUGACCCAUCUGUGUUCAUGUCCUUCAUUCAAUGCAGACUGUUUCCUAAGUUUUUACAUCAAAAUCUGGAAGAGUCAGCUGCU
Callithrix jacchus (white-tufted-ear marmoset) is the source of this 672-nucleotide non-coding RNA. The record is from RefSeq and is a predicted model, not a curated record. NCBI's taxonomy places the organism in Eukaryota, Metazoa, Chordata, Mammalia, Primates, Cebidae.